AAGAAAGUGGCAGAGUGGGUAUGCGGCUGGCUUGAAACUAGCCCACGGGGGUUCGAUUCCUCCCUUUCUCG
This 71-nucleotide transfer RNA is filed under the name Chirocentrus dorab (Dorab wolf-herring). RNAcentral's name for it is "tRNA-Ser (UCN)". It matches the Rfam family "tRNA". From Rfam's summary of the family: Transfer RNA (tRNA) molecules are approximately 80 nucleotides in length. Their secondary structure includes four short double-helical elements and three loops (D, anti-codon, and T loops). Lineage: Eukaryota; Metazoa; Chordata; Actinopteri; Clupeiformes; Chirocentridae. The record is from RNAcentral.